CCUACGGGAGGCUGCAGUGAGGAAUAUUGGUCAAUGGACGAGAGUCUGAACCAGCCAAGUAGCGUGAAGGAUGACUGCCCUAUGGGUUGUAAACUUCUUUUAUAAGGGAAUAAAACAAGGCAUGUGUGCCUUUUUGUAUGUACUUUAUGAAUAAGGAUCGGCUAACUCCGUGCCAGCAGCCGCGGUAAUACGGAGGAUCCGAGCGUUAUCCGGAUUUAUUGGGUUUAAAGGGAGCGUAGAUGGGUUGUUAAGUCAGUUGUGAAAGUUUGCGGCUCAACCGUAAAAUUGCAAUUGAUACUGGCAGUCUUGAGUACAGUUGAGGUAGGCGGAAUUCGUGGUGUAGCGGUGAAAUGCUUAGAUAUCACGAAGAACCCCGAUUGCGAAGGCAGCUUACUAAACUGCGACUGACACUGAUGCUCGAAAGUGUGGGUAUCAAACAGGAUUAGAUACCCCUGUAGUC
This 460-nucleotide ribosomal RNA is filed under the name uncultured bacterium. RNAcentral's name for it is "partial 16S ribosomal RNA". It matches the Rfam family "Bacterial small subunit ribosomal RNA", at positions 338 to 795 of the family's 1533-position model. The record is from RNAcentral.